AGUGAACGCUGGCGGCGUGCUUAACACAUGCAAGUCGAACGAGAACGGAUUAUAGCUUGCUAUAAUUGUCAGCUAAGUGGCGCACGGGUGAGUAAUAUAUAGUUAACCUGCCCUCAAGAAAGGAAUAACAGUUGGAAACGACUGCUAAUGCCCUAUAUGCCUUUAAUACAUAAGUAUGCAAGGGAAACGCUUUAGUGCUUGAGGAUGGGACUGUAUGGUAUCAGUUAGUUGGUGAGGUAAUGGCUCAUCAAGACAAUGACGCCUAACUGGUUUGAGAGGAUGAUCAGUCACACUGGAACUGAGACACGGUCCAGACUCCUACGGGUGGCUG
This 331-nucleotide ribosomal RNA is filed under the name uncultured Pseudomonadota bacterium. RNAcentral's name for it is "bacterial SSU rRNA". It matches the Rfam family "Bacterial small subunit ribosomal RNA", at positions 29 to 351 of the family's 1533-position model. The record is from RNAcentral. Lineage: Bacteria; Pseudomonadati; Pseudomonadota.